AAUAUGGAAACUUUGUUCCCACGUGUCAUUUAUGCUCAUGUUGCUUUAUUAUUAUUUGCAUUGAAUUUUUUUCUUUGGGUCUGGCAGCACAUACAUAUAUGAGGCAUACUUUUUAGUUAUUGUUAAUUCGGCUGGCACUUCAGUAGUUUUGCAAUUUAUAAAUGUAAUUUAAAUUGUUAAUUGAUAGUAUAUAUAAAUAGAAAGUAUUUGAAACGUGUGUGUAUGGUACACAGUUGUAAUAAUGAUUAAAAUAAACGUGAUAAGUGCACUUAUAUCAAAAUUUGGUGAAGAUAAAAUACAAAUUUUACAAACAAAUAGCUUAAAAACUUGUAUUAAUUAAAUAGUAUUGGUGCCAGUUUUAGCAAAAUAGACAGUAAACCAAGAUUUCCUGUGAGUUUCAUUGGAAAAUCCUUAAUAUUCUUCACGAAAAAAAACAGAACGGGACAUCUUAUGGAGUCGUAGCCAUAUACUUGAACUAUAUUUUCAUCAACAUAGCGUCCGCCGUAGUCGGACGCGAUAGUGCAGGUUAUUGAACGAUCAAGUGAAAAAAAAAGGUAUUUGAUAUUUGAUUUUAUGAAUAAGUGUAAUAAUGCGUAUAGCACUUAACACACGAGAAAAUUAUCAACCGCACGAGCACUUUGGGAACGAGUCCGAACGAAGCGAGUGUUAGUCGAUGACUGUCAGCUAAUUAUAAAGUGGUGUAUUAUACGUCAGAUUAACCUUCACCACUCAAAGGUUGCGUCCGCCAACCUCAUAAUCCACCUGGCCAAAGGUGGACAUCAUAUUGUCCUGAUUCAAGAACCAUGGGUAUCACAUGGACUUGUGUGCGGACUAAGGACUAAAAAAUAUAAACUGAUGUAUGCUCGCAAGAAAGCGACACCGAUCAAUUGACCAUUAGCCUGGAGUCGGGAAAUGAACGGAUGUGGCUAUCUUCCUGUUACCUCGCACAUGACCACGAGGAGCUACCGAGAUCAAUAUUCAAAGAUCUGGUAGCGCAGGCGCAGAAGCUUGGCGCAAAGCUAAUCAUUGGUGCGGAUGUAAAUGCGCAUCACGAGAUAUGGGGCAGCACUGAUACUAACGCUAGAGGCAUCCGCCAACACCAUACUGUUGUCAGUCCAAUUUUCUUAUUCGCCUUUAAAAUUGGAAAGUGAUUAUAUGGAUAAAUGCAUUUGCAUUUAAUUUUAAUGAAAAUAAUUCGAAUAUAAGGAUAUAAAUAAGUCAAAACACGCGUGGGAGUGUAUAUUUAGUGAUGUGUAAAAAAAUAUAUAUUGUAAUCUGCCAAUCUAUAGUGAAGUUCCCGAGGACACUUUGAAGGCAAAUAAUUACGAAAAUAUUGACCCUUAUUAUGAGCAACAUUCGAUCUUCGACUGUAGUCGAAAGUGCUGAUCGAACGGAUUUUCAUUUGGUAUUAUGGUGCUCAUUCGCUAAUGAAUAGGACUAUUGUGAAUUUCGAUCGCUCGACGCAUUUACAAUAGAUAAUUUUUUCUCAGCUGAUACAGCAAAUCAAAAUAAAAGAAAAGGCGGUUGUAUUGAAAAUCUUUAACAACAUUUUUAAAAGUCAAAAAAAUUAUUUUUCGUGAAAGGGCAUACAAUAAACAACAUGCUAAAGCGAGAAGUACCAUUGAGAGAACAAUUGCAGUCUUGAAAACCCGAUUUAGAUGUUUGUUGCAGGCAAGAGCUCUCCACUAUUCUCCAAACAAAGCAACACAAAUUAUUAAUGUGUGCGCAGCUUUGCACAACAGUUGUCUGCUUUACAAAGUUCAAUUUCCGGAUGAAGAGUUAUCCGAUGAGACCCUCAACGAUGAUGCUGGAGAUAUUGAAGUGGAGUCAAAUAAUGGAGAAGCAGAAAACAUAAGAAAUGAAAUUCUUAGAAUAUUAUGGAAAAAACUAAAAAGUAUUACAUAAAAACCUUUACGCCCUAGUUUCUUUUUUAUUUUUGUUAUAAAUUUUCUUUAUUCAAAUUUCGUCAUUCGUCAGCCCAUACCUGCCAAGGGAAAAUAAACAUGUAUUUCUACAAACAUCACAAAAAAAAAACCAUUAAUAACCUUAAUCCAUUUUGCUGCCGUUCUAACAGGUGGUUCCAAUCAAUUCAGCUCCGUUGUAAGCUCCUCCCAUUUUUUUCUGCGUGAACUUUUGUGCAAAUUCCUUUUGCGAAUUGUGGAUUAUCUUCCAUUAAUGCAACCAGCCUUUCUAAUUGGUAUUUGGUACUCAUGACUUUCGACCUGCAUAAAAUUAACAAAAUUAGUAUAUGCUUAUUAUUUGGUUAUUAUAAAACAAUAAAUAAUCGCAAACAAUUUUACUUACAUUUUAACAAAUUUUCCCACAAUUCACUACACAAUCGAAAGCAAAAUUGCAUUCGACUCUAAAUUCGGUAUACAACGAAAAUUUCGACAGAGUUGCACCGCUCAUAAUACCAAAUUGACAUUCGAUUUUCGAUCUUCGACAACCAUCGAAUAUCGAAGAUCGAAUCCAACUCAUAAUAGGGGCCAUUAUUUCCCGAAUAAUUUGGAGUUAUAAAGAGUGUUCCUUAACACCUCAGUAACCGAAGGCCGCCCACGCGGAAAGGAGUUCUACGCAAAAAUACCGUGGAUUGCGUAGCCGGAGUUGGACUGAUGAGGGUUAUUUUUUUGAAGCGCGGCCCAUGCGAAAAAGAUUUAUACGCAAAAAUACUGUGGAUUGCGUAGCCGGAGAGUAAGAGAGAGGGUUAUUUUUUUGAAGCGCGACCGAAGGCCGCUUGCGCGAAAAGCAAUUCUGCGCAAAAAUACCGUGGAUUGCGUAACCGGAGUUGAACUGAUGAGGGUUAUUUUUUUGAAGCGCGGCCGAACGCCGCCCAUGCGAAAAAAAGUUCUAUGCUUGAGGACCCUUUUGUAAAACUGAUCGAAGCAAUACAAUACACUUAUAUAAUGUAAUUUUUGGCUUUCAAUUACUUUAUUAUUUUUUGUGAUACGCUUAAUAUCAUUGCUUUUAAGUUUAAAUGAGUUGUAUGUUUUUAUUUUCAAAAAAAAUUUCUCAAUUUUAAAUUACAGCAAAAAACACUGCAGUUUUACAAUGAACCUUCCACUGAACAUCCCUGCGUACGAACUUCGUUUUUAUUUCAGGUGUAUGGCAACACCAACUUUUUUAAAUUACAGAACUUUAACAUUAAAUUACUUAAAAACUACAAGCCUCCGGCAGGUGCGGUUUUCAGUUUUGAGAUGGGGUAAACCCCUCUAUCGCCCCCUUUUAACCUUUUUUUUUCACAGCGACAGACAUUAUACUAAAUAUUUCCCGUUAUAAAGAUUGUUCCUUAAGGGGUUAUACGCAGUUAUGAAGCAAAUAAAAGACGGGUUGUCAAGGAUUUAUCCUCAAGAAACUUCAGAAUAUUUUAAUUUGAAAAUUUUUGGCGGUUAUAAAAGCAUCCAUCAAGAACGUAACAAAUUUUUUUAUUUAUGAAAAUGUUGAUUAUAGAGCGCGCUGCAGGCGAUUUCUGGAACCUCCUUAAAAAAAAGACGAUUUACGGUGUACAUCGUAACUCAGGAUUGGAUUAUCUGAAAUUAAAAAAACAAACAAAUUUUGUUAAUAUUUUAGACUAGCAUCACCCAGUGGGCUUCGCACCACCAUACAUAAAAUGUUUGUUUUAUAUCGCAAGAAAUUUUUCAUAUUAAGUUUUCUUUAUAGAACUCGUAAAAUGUUUAAACAGUUGAAUUAGUUGAUUUUUUUCAUUCAACAUACUUUCUAAAGAUGUCACAAUAGCCUUUUCUGUACUUUUUUAAAAUUUGAUUGUGGUGGUCACCUAUAUACAGGUAAGGUACCGGUUCAAACACAUCUUAGGGUUAUCCAGGUCCACGUUUUGGUCUAUAUCUCGAGACCCUAGUUACGGAGGGGCAUUAAAAAUACUCUAUACUAUAGAAUCAUCAGCAGCUUCCAUUUGCUACCCAUAUUGUACAAACACAUCCUAGGGUUACCCGGGUCCACGUUUUGGAUUAUAUCUCGAGACCCUAGUCACGGAACGGUAUGAAAAAUACUCUAUACUAUAGAAAUCAUCAACAGCUUCCAUUUGCUACCCAUAUUGUACGAACACAUCCUUAAGUUAUCGGGGUCCACAUUUUGGGCGAUAUCUCGAGACCCUAGCCACGGAGCGGCAUCAAAAAUACUCUAUACUAUAGAAUCAGGAGCAGCUUCCAUUUGCUACCCAUAUUGUACAAACACAUCCUAGGGUUACCCGGGUCCACGUUUUGGAUUAUAUCUCGAGACCCUAGUCACGGAACGGUAUAAAAAUACUCUAUACUAUAGAAAUCAUCCACAGCUCCCAUUUGCUACCCAUAUUGUACGAACGCAUCCUUAAGUUAUCGGGGUCCACAUUUUGGGCGAUAUCUCGAGACCCUAGCCACGGAGCGGCAUCAAAAAUACUCUAUACUAUAGAAUCAUCAGCAGCUUCCAUUUGCUACCCAUAUUGUACAAACACAUCCUAGGGUUACCCGGGUUCACGUUUUGGCCUAUUUCUCGAGACCCUGGUAUCCGAUUCUUAAAAUUUUAAAACACAAACCAUCUACUGAAUAGUCCAAACAAAGCCUAAAAAUUUGGUUUGGAUAAGUGAGCCCGUUCGCGAGUUUUAAGCGAAUAUAGGGACAGAUUUUCACAUUUAUAUACAUACUAGCAAACCCGGCCCGCUUCGCUGGGCACACUAAAAUAGAAUAGAUAUGGUUUAGAACAGAAAAGAUAUGGUUUUCAUAUUAUUUAUUUCUUUAUUCUCAUACUAUUUAUUUAUUUAUUCAAUACCACGUUUUGGUCUCUAUCUCGAGACCCUAGUCACGGAGCGGCAUGAAAAAUACUCUGAACUAAAGCAUUCACCAACAGCUUCAAUUUGACAUCCAUAUUGUACAAACACAUUCUAGGCUCCAUGUUUUGGUCUCUAUCUCGAGACCCUAGUCACGGAGCGGCAUGGAAAAUACUCUGAACUAAAGCAUUCACUAACAGCUUCCAUUUGAUACCCAUAUUGUACAUACACAUAUGAAGGUUACCCGGGUCCACGUUUUGACCUAUAUCUCGAGACCCUAGUCACGGAGCGGCAUGAAAAAUACACUGCACUAAAGCAUUCACCAACAGCUUCCAAUUGAUAUCCAUAUUGUACAAACACAUUCUAGGGUCCACGUGUUGGUCUCUAUCUCGAAACCCUAGUCACGGAGCGGCAUGAAAAAUACUCUGAACUAAAGCAUUCACCAACAGCUUCCAUUUGAUACCCAUAUUGUAUAUACACAUCCGAAGGUUACCCGGGUCCACGUUUUGACCUAUAUCUCGAGACCCCAGUCACGGAGCGGCAUGAGAAAUACUCUGUACUAAAGCAUUCACCAACAGCUUCCAAUUGAUAUCCAUAUUGUACAAACACAUUCUAGGGUCCACGUGUUGGUCUCUAUCUCGGGACCCUAGUCACGGAGCGGCAUGAAAAAUACUCUGAACUAAAGCAUUCACCAACAGCUUCCAUUUGAUACCCAUAUUGUAUAUACACAUCCGAAGGUUACCCGGGCCCACGUUUUGACCUAUAUCUCGAGACCCCAGUCACGGAGCGGCAUGAAAAAUACUCUGUACUAAAGCAUUCACCAACAGCUUCAAUUUGAUAUUCAUAUUGUACAAACACAUUCUAGGGUCCACGUUUUGGUCUCUAUCUCGAGACCCUAGUCACGGAGCGGCAUGAAAAAUACUCUGAACUAAAGCAUUCACCAACAGCUUUCAUUUGAUACCCAUGUUGUAUAUACACAUCUGAAGGUUACCCGGGUCCACGUUUUGACCAUUUUCCCGGCAAUUAUUCGAAUUUUUCUCACCUUUUAAACCUUCCCUAGACCUCCACGAAUAAUUCAAGACCAAGAUAAGAUAAAUCCGUUCAGCCAUUCUCGAGUUAUAAGCGAACAUAGGGACAGAUUUUCACAUUUAUAUAUAUAGAUAUAGAUAAAAAAAAAAAAAAAAAAAUUUUUCAUUCGAAUCAUUUGAAAUUUC
Anastrepha ludens (Mexican fruit fly) is the source of this 5970-nucleotide long non-coding RNA. RefSeq lists it as uncharacterized. Lineage: Eukaryota; Metazoa; Arthropoda; Insecta; Diptera; Tephritidae. The record is from RefSeq and is a predicted model, not a curated record. The transcript has 4 exons.